GGAAAGCAGGCAGAGGUCAGUGUGGAAAUGGACAGGGACGAAUUCACUGGAGCAUUGGGAAAAUUUAAGCGGAGCAUCGGGAGAGGGAGUAAAGCGGGGCGAGCGAGGAAGCACAGUGUGAGUCAGUGAGUGGGAACCUCGGCUGCUUCACGUUUCUGUCACUGUGGAUGGAGCGGUUCCACGAUGCCCGGUUCCCUGUCAUCCUGGACUCCAACAUUCUGCAACUGUGAGUCAAAACAAACAUUCCUGCGGCCCAGCAAGAUGAUUCAGUGGUUAAAGACACCUGUUCCACAAGACUGGCAACCUUGGUUCAAUCUUUGGAACAACUUCAAGACCGUGCACCCGUGGCGUUCGGGUUGAACACGCAAUGCUCCGCACAGGCUGCGAUGUUGAAUCCUCAGACCCCAGGAGGAGGUGCUCUUUGCAGGAGGAGGUGGAGGCUUUAGGAACCGGGCCGAGGUAGAGGAAGCACUUGGAAGUGUCCUUGGGGCCUUUGCGGUUGUGUCUCGUCCUGCCACAUCCCUGCAGUGUCCUCUACUUCCUGUCAGAAGUUGAAGACCUCCUCCUCCCUCUCCUCUAUGAUGUUGUGCCUCUCUAUGGGUCCAGGCAGAGUCCGUAGUUAAGGCGUGUAGACUGAAAUCGCUGCAGCCGUGAACAAAUCCCUGGCUCCUCCCAAAAGGGAACCGUUGGAGGGCUCCUGCACGGUUUGCUGAUGCUAUUUGAUGGACGUGUAUUCUACCAGGAUAUAUGCAAACAUACCCUGCCUCAGCACCUUCUAGUCAUUUCCUCUGUCUGAGGUUGAUUGAUUAAAGUUCCGGGAAGUAAAGAGGAGAGAAAGGUAAAUUGUCCUGAGAGCCAAAUGCCUAGGAAGGACCAAAGGCAGUAGUGGUAACACCCUUAAAGCCCUGGAUGAGGGCUCCUAGCACCACCAAUCACUCUUUAGCUGCUGAAGAAUUAAAGUCCUGGGAUAAGGGCUCUAUCUUAGUUAGCAUUUUACUGCUGUGAACAGACACUGUUACCAAGGACAACAUUUAAUUGGGGCUGGCUUACAGUUUCAGAGGUUCAGUCCAGUAACAUCAAGGUGGGAUACAUGGCAGCAUCCAGGCAGGCAUGGUGCAGGAGGAGCUGAGAGUUCUACAUCUUCAUCUGUUAGGAGAAAACUGAGUUCUAGUCAGCUAGGAAGAGGGUCUUUUUUUUUAAAUAUGUUUUGAUAGCACAAUGUUUCUUUCUUUUUUUUCUUUUUCUUUUCCAUCUUUAUUAAAUUGGGUAUUUCUUAUUUACAUUUCAAAUGUUAUUCCCUUUCCCGGUUUCCAUGGCAACAUCCGCCUAGCCCCUCCCCCUCCCAUUCUAUAUGGGUGGUCUCCCUCCCAAUCCUUCCCCCAUUACUGCCACCCAGGGCUUAGGAAGAGGGUCUUAAAGCCCACACCCAUAGUGACACACCCACUCCAACAAGGCCACACCUCCUACUAGUGCCACUGUCUGCGUCAAGCAUAUCUGAACCGUCACACAGGCUCCCACCACCACCAAUUGUUGUCGAGCUGCUGAGGAAUUAUCCCUGUCAUAUAAUACCUGUGACUUUUGAAUGCCAGCAGUAAGUUUCCUCUGUCCUCUUUUGCUAAUAAUACAUUGCCACAGGUUGGCUAAUUUAUAAAUAAGAAAGGGUUACUGUGGUUCAUCCAGUGAUGGUUCUCCUUGCUGUCAGGGUCCCCACGUGUAAUAGCCCAUCACAUGGAAAGAGAUUAGAAUGGGGCACGAUAGAUUAGCCAAAGUCACGUAUAUAGCACAACCUCCCCUGAGACAACCUGUCAACCCAUUAGUCUGUAUGUCACGUGCGUGUAUCAGUGUAGUAGUGAGGAUGAGCUUCUAAUCGCUUUCACUGGUCCCAUCUCUUGCUAUCUCAUAAUGAGAAACUUCAACAUGAGCUACACAGCAAAUUCAAGCAACGGAGGUCAGCGUCUGGCUACCCCAGGAAAUGCCCACGGGAUGGGUAUCCAAGUGGGUCUGGGCUCAGGCAAGGCUAAACAGAUUUUUGUGGUAUCUAAUGCAAGCAGAUGGCUCUGUCCUCCUUUUAAAACUAAAGCACUGUCAAAUGCUAAGGGACUCAGAGUCACACAAGAAUGGAGUGUACCUGUGGGCAGUUGUUUCCUGUCGUGGCUAAGAAGGACCACAGAGCCUGAUACAAAGUGUGUUGUAAGCAGGGAGAGGAACAGAUGUUGUGGGGUUUACUCCUUGUUAUAAGGGAUUAUUGUGUGUAGAUCUGAGUGCCAAGGGACCCCAACCUCAGCCUGAUGUUCCCUUGGCUUUGAAGUUCUUCUCUCAACUCACAUUUAACUAAAUCUUGUUUGCAUUCUUACCUUCACCAAAUAAUUGACCCUCCGAUUUCCGUCGGUUUCUCUCCUUAUGUGAGGCAUCCAGGAGGCCAGGGGAGAGCAGGGCAGAUGGGUUUCCCUCUUGACCUUUCCAGAUGCAAUACAGAUCAGGAUGCUUGGAAGCCCACUGAGUAGAGAACUCUUCCUUUACAGGCUGCAUCCCACCUCGUCUUGUCAGACCAAGGGUAUGACUCCCCACUGUUUCUUCUCUUUUUGACAGAUUAAUCCCCUUGUGUCUACAGAGUUUGUUCUUCCAGGAGUCAUGCCAUGAGCCAUUCAAAUACCUUCUACUAUUGUCAUAAUAGAGGGACCGUGUAUUAGUAACUUUUUUUAUGAUGGGGACAUAGACAUAAAUAACUUAAGCGGGGUGGUGGUGGUGGUGGUGGUGGUGAUGGUGUUAUUUGGCUUACAGUUUAAAGGAUGUCAGUCUAUCUUGGAAGGAAGGGCACGGCAAAGCAGAGCGUUUUAGAACAUGAUGGACCAGGAAGCAGAGAAGGGGAUUCAGGAAUAGGCUAAGGCAGACAGUCUAUAAAAGCACGCGCCCAGUGAAAUAUUUUCCCUAAUUAGAGCCCACUGCUUGCCAUUUACCAUGUCUCAAUAAUGAAUAGUGCCUUCAUAUUGUGAAUCCAAUGAGGGAAAUUGAUCUACUGAUUAGGGAAGAAGGAUCAUGGUCUAUCACUGGAAAGUAUUGCACACACACACACACACACACACACACACACACACACACACAGAGAGAGAGAGAGAGAGAGAGAGACAGAGACAGAGAGAGACAGAGACAGAGAGAGAGACAGAGAGACAGAGAGAGACAGAGAGAGACAGAGAGAGACAGAGAGAGACAGAGAGACACACAGAGAGAAAGAUCCUCCAUCAAUCCCCUGCAAGUCUCUUAAUUAUGUCCAUUUGACAAAAUCAACCACCUAGGAUGGCCUCUUUUGUUUGACCUCUGUUGCUAUUAUGAGGUAGUGUGAGUACUUGCCUUAUAGGAGUUGAACCAGUUGAAGUGGAAAAAGCAACUUAGCCUGGGUUGCCUGAGUCUGUAUUGCAAGAGUCAGGAUGAUUUCUACUUGGCUGAAUUCUUGUCUUGGCUUUCUGGAGCCAUCAGGAAAAUAAAAAUAAAAAUCAAUCAAAGGAGAAUGUCCCCCUGUUCCACUGAUGCUUCUCUUCACCAGCUUCUCUGUGGACCAAAGUCUCCCGUUACCUAGGCAACCUUCUCCAGGACCCAUGCUCUCCAUUGCAGUUACAAAAUGAAUGUUAGGGUUGAGUUAAAAUGGUAAGAUCAAGAACAUCGGGGGCUUGCAGUUGAGCAUGAGAUAGGCAGGCUACUCGAUAAGAAGGACAGAGCUCGGAAAAAUAAUGAAGUGAGUUCUCAUGGGUUCCGAUUGGCUUUUGGGAAGAGCUGCCCCACCUAAGCACACCAAAAGCACUGCUGUCCUUUUACCUGGUGAACUCUGUAUCUAAUUAAUCUAAUUGUAAUAGACGUAGUUGCAGGCUAAGUACAGCCUCUAGGAAAGCCUUUGCCAAUUCCAGAAAGGAGGGUACCCUCCAGGAGUGUGCACAGGUCAGAGGAAUGGUAGUCUAAGACUUGUGAAUUCAGAAAGUAGAGGCAGCCCUUGGAUUCUGCUAUUCAGAGCUGUGUGCCUUCCAUUCUUGAGAGUGAAUGCAUGUUCUGCUUUUGCUUUCUUGGCUGUUGAAGAAGCUCAAAUAGUAGCUCAUUGUACCAGGCUCGACAUGAUAUGAACUCUUCUCCUCUGAGAGCACAGACAUAGAUUACCAUGGCCGUGAUUGGCAGGAACCCAAUGGAAGAACAGCUCCUGGUUCCUAACUCUACCAAGAAUGCUGUUCUAGCUUGAUUUCUGCCUCCCCAGCAUCUUUUCCUCUUCCCAAUUUUCCAAUCAGCAUCUAAGUACAAACUGCUGCUUCGUAUUCAAAAGAAGUCUUCUUUGAAAAUCCAUGUCCCUGACUAUUGGUCCAUUCCUCCGCUCUCUUUUGUGCCUAGGUUCUUCAAAGGCCUUGUCUCUAACUGUCUCUACUUCCUUUUUAUCACCCUCUGUCCCCAAUGCACUGCUAUCAAGUUUCUUUUUCCUGCAUAACACAGAGAACAAAGUGAAAAGCAGACUUGCUUUGUCAAGGUCAGAGGUUACUAGGGUGAGGAUUUUUUUCUCUUUGAUCGGAUUAAUCAAAGCUUAUAACCAUCACCCUGUCAUAUUUUAAUCAAGACCUUUAGGCUUCACUAAAAAUAUCUGUUGAUUUGGGUAACGAUGCUAUCAUGCUGUCAAGCACCAUGUUCCAGAUACUGUGGUCAACUCUCAAUUUUAUUUCCCUUAGCUGGGCACGUUCAGUAAGUGAAUCUCCUCCUCGUUCUGCCUUUCCUGCCUCUGGGACACCAUUUUCUUUUCUGGAACAAGUGGGAGGGAGCUUUGCUCUCCCCCGUGUCCUUCCUUCCUGCUUUCACAUCUUUGAAGGCUGAUCUCAGCAUUCGUUGACACUCAGGUUUAAGGAUUCCAUUAACUUUCCUGUCUUUACUUUUUAUUUCUUUUAAACUGGCUCUCCCUUUGCCGCUUAGGCAGGACUGGCAAUCCUCUUUAAAGAUGUGUGCCAUACGACUUCGUCUAACCUAUCUUCUCUAACAUCUCUGUAGUAGGUGGUAACCUAAGAUUUCAUGCACUGCAGUUUGGCUGACUUGUCCUACAGUACUCUCUCACAUUGAUUAUGUAGCAACCAUAGCCAUCUCUGUGAUGGCCUGUGGGUCCAUCCGGGACCCAGUCAGGUUUCUUCUUUGAUGUCACCACCUAGCAUACCAUUUUGUGCCCACCUAGCCAUGGUGGUCUUCUUGGCCCUUAAGCCCAGUGAACUUGUUUCUGUUCUAUCUCAGUGUCUUUGCAUACGCUAUGCCCUCCCAACCCCCACCCCCGAGGGAUUUUCUUCUCUUGUGUUUUCCUAUGGUGUCACUUUAUAACGUCUGUUCAAACUUCACCUUUCGGCUUUUUCCCGAUAGCCUUCUUCCUUAAGUCCAACAAGACCACCACCACUACUACCUCUCUGUUCCCUUGAUUCUGUUUUUCUUUAUUCCUUAACACCACACACCUCUGUGUUUCCUGUCUCACCCACUUUAAGAUUUCAUCUUCAACACCUAAAUAGUUAGGACAUGGUAUAGGACGUGUUAGUUAUUUGUUGAGUGAAAGGAUUAUGAAUUAAUUGCUCGCCUCAUCAAUUAUAUCAUCGUUUUUUAAAAAGAAAUGUUUUAGUGUCAAUCAUCAACCAUAAGAGAUAAAAGAAAGAAAAACAGUAAAAGUCUUCCUUGAUAUAGAAAGAUGACAAAAAUAACCACCCAAAAAACAAAAAACAUUGACAUAUCCCCACGUGAAGGGACAUUUGUUUAUAUCCCUCUGUUUGAGUCACCCACAGCAGGAGAAGCAAAUUGCCAGCUUACAGCCCGAGGACUUUCUCCAAUGGACCUGUGCUCAGGUGCAGCCUGGACCCUGAUUUAUGCUGCAGAAAAUAGCUUCAAGGUGAAGCUGGCAGUGUCUGGAGAGGGGACUACAGAGUCUGGAGAAGUGACGUCAGCUUUCUAGAGGACCUAGCUUCCCAGUCACAGACAGGAGGGUAGAGAGAACCAUCAAGGAAAGGAAUUGAAAUGGCUCUAAAAGGACACAAUGAGACAAUGGGAUGAAGGAGACGCAGCAUGCUAUUCAGCACGCACUGGAAAGGGAGAAAAAUCAACUGUCAACCGGCUUGUCAGUAUGAGCAGUUAGAAGUGACAUGAUUGGAAGCAUUAAGAACCAGGAACACAGGACAAUUUUCUGAGGGACGUGCAUCGAAUACAUUACCUAGAACACAAACUGAAUCGGAUGCUGUAGCCCACCACCGUGAACUGAAGCUUCAUGAAGAGAGACUCAUGUGACCCUCGUGUGGAAGCGAAUGGAACAAAGACCAACUUUUCCAUUUGGACCCCUGGUUUCUCUCGAAUGCAGUUGUCCCAUCCUCAGCCUUUGAAUGAAAUGACUGUGCUGGUGGUCCCACGCCCAGGGGAAACAUCCUGUCCCCUAGAGGACCCUCAGUCUGUUGGAAAGUGUAAUGAGUAAGACUCAGUGAGCAGCAGAGGCUGAGAAAGUUGGGGGCCAAGGAGCAGGUCAGAGUUUCCCCACUUCUGCUUUUAACUCUCCUCCACUCAAAAUAGAAACUAUUUCCACCUUACUCCCUGUCCCCAACCUCAGCUUCAAGGUGGUCUACCACAAACACUCUGAGUGACAGUAGGGGAGUCACCAACUCUCCUGUGAGUCUGCACACCAAGCUGAGGAAACGGAAGCCUAGAAAGGCCAAAGAAAGUACUGUGUUGACCUUUUACAAUUAUUAAUUAAUUAAAUACAUAUGGGUGUUUUA
Molecule: non-coding RNA, 6752 nt
Organism: Rattus norvegicus (Norway rat)
Lineage: Eukaryota; Metazoa; Chordata; Mammalia; Rodentia; Muridae
Source: RefSeq, a predicted model, not a curated record